UACGGAAUGUGCAAACGUUAUUCGGAAUCACUGGGCUUAAAGAGUCCGUAGGCGGCAUGUUAGGUGAGGUGUGAAAUCCCCCGGCUCAACCGAGGAAUUGCGCUUCAAACCGGCGUGCUUGAGGAAGGUAGAGGUGGGCGGAACUGAUGGUGGAGCGGUGAAAUGCGUUGAUAUCAUCAGGAACACCGGUGGCGAAGGCGGGUCUCUGGGCCGAUACUGACGCUGAGGAGCGAAAGCGUGGGGAGCAAACAGG
Molecule: ribosomal RNA, 253 nt
Filed under: uncultured bacterium
Lineage: Bacteria
Description: partial 16S ribosomal RNA
Rfam family: Bacterial small subunit ribosomal RNA
Source: RNAcentral